Non-coding RNA from Brachypodium distachyon (stiff brome), 125 nucleotides. The record is from Rfam. NCBI's taxonomy places the organism in Eukaryota, Viridiplantae, Streptophyta, Magnoliopsida, Poales, Poaceae.
UGUUUACUCCUUCCGUUCCAUAAUUCUUGUCUCAAAUUUGCCCAAAAAUGGAUGUAUCUAUUCCUAAAAACUGUCUAGAUACAUGUAAUAUUUCCACAAGAAUUAUGGAACGGAGGGAGUAGAUA